GAGAUUCUUCGGGGUCGGGUGCAAAUCCCAACCGGCGGUAUAGUCCGCGACCCGGCGCGUUUAUCCGCGCUGGCUGAUCUGGUGCAAUUCCGGAACCGACAGUAAAGUCUGGAUGAGAGAAGAAUUAU
This is a regulatory RNA element of Lachnospiraceae bacterium 5_1_57FAA, 128 nucleotides long. It matches the Rfam family "FMN riboswitch aptamer (RFN element)". Rfam says of the family: The RFN element is a highly conserved domain that is found frequently in the 5'-untranslated regions of prokaryotic mRNAs that encode for flavin mononucleotide (FMN) biosynthesis and transport proteins. This element is a metabolite-dependent riboswitch that directly binds FMN in the absence of proteins. The record is from Rfam. Lineage: Bacteria; Bacillati; Bacillota; Clostridia; Lachnospirales; Lachnospiraceae.